RNAcentral lists this ribosomal RNA (497 nucleotides) under uncultured bacterium. Its description in RNAcentral is "partial 16S ribosomal RNA". It matches the Rfam family "Bacterial small subunit ribosomal RNA", at positions 28 to 507 of the family's 1533-position model. The record is from RNAcentral.
GAUGAACGCUGGCGGCGUGCCUAAUACAUGCAAGUCGAGCGAACGGACGAGAAGCUUGCUUCUCUGAUGUUAGCGGCGGACGGGUGAGUAACACGUGGAUAGCCUACCUAUAAGACUGGGAUAACUUCGGGAAACCGGAGCUAAUACCGGAUAAUAUUUUGAACCGCAUGGUUCAAAAGUGAAAGACGGUCUUGCUGUCACUUAUAGAUGGAUCCGCGCUGCAUUAGCUAGUUGGUAAGGUAACGGCUUACCAAGGCAACGAUGCAUAGCCGACCUGAGAGGGUGAUCGGCCACACUGGAACUGAGACACGGUCCAGACUCCUACGGGAGGCAGCAGUAGGGAAUCUUCCGCAAUGGGCGAAAGCCUGACGGAGCAACGCCGCGUGAGUGAUGAAGGUCUUCGGACCGUAAAACUCUGUUAUUAGGGAAGAACAUAUGUGUAAGUAACUGUGCACAUCUUGACGGUACCUAAUCAGAAAGCCACGGCUAACUACGUG